Molecule: unclassified non-coding RNA, 252 nt
Filed under: Vincetoxicum grandiflorum
Lineage: Eukaryota; Viridiplantae; Streptophyta; Magnoliopsida; Gentianales; Apocynaceae
Description: partial miscellaneous RNA
Source: RNAcentral
UUGGCUACUCCGCCCGCUGGCUCUAUUUCUAUUUAUUUUUCUAUUUAUUUCCUAUUGUAAUUUAUUAAUUUUUUUUUUAUUUCRAAUAUUUAAAUUCUAAAUCCUAUUUUAUUUARAAUUUUCUUUCGACRAUUUUCUUUUGUAUUUCUGARAUAUUUCCACUUUUGAUAAUGUAACAAAUAUAAAGAAAAAAAAGGAGCAAUAUCMCCCUCUUGAUARAACAARAAGGUAAUUUUUGCUCCUUUUUUUUUU